AUGCAAGCCUAAGAGUACAUGGAAUUAUAGUAGAUCUGUGAAUGGCUCAUUACAUCAGCAAUAAUCUACCUGGUGACGUUGGGGUUUAACCCCGCCUAUUGGAUAUCCACCCUAACUGGGUGGUUAAUACAUGGAAGCACACCCCCUCCUCACCCUACGCGCGGCGGCGGGGUGACUCUUCGUCGCGCGGAGGCGGGGGGCAUUCAGCUGAUACCAAGACCGGCGCCCGUUAAGGGCAGCGUGCAUGGGUGAUUCAGGCUGUCCUGUCGCAAUAGCAGAGUGAUGUACAUCAUCGCUGCUUGACCAGACGAACUUCUGACCUAUCAGCUUAGGACUGUGGUGUAGUGGACCACCGUGGCUAUAACGGGUAACGGAGAAUCAGGGUUUGAUACCGGAGAGGGAGCCUGAUAAACGGCUACCACUGCUAAGGUGGGCAGCAGGCACGCAAAUUGCCCAAUACCAGCACACCUGGUGAGGCAGCAACGAGCUGUAGCAAUCCUGCCCGUCCUCGUGACAGGCAGAAUUUGCAAUGGAUGCCAUAUCCAAACCCAGCAAUGAGUAUCAACUGGAGGGCAAGUCUGGUGCCAGCAGCUGCGGUAAUUCCAGCUCCAAUGGCGUAUACUAAUAUUGCUGCUGUUAAAACGCUUGUAGUCGACCUCAGAGCGUGGGGCUGCAGGGCGGCCCGCGCCGGCUAUCCGAAGGGCGGCCUCGCGUCGCCCGACGGACGGCCGGUCGUGGGAACUCAACCCCCUGCAGGAUGCCCCCGCGCUCGCCGCACGUGGGACCGAUCGCACCUGCUGCAAGCGGACUUCAUUGGCCGCCGACGSGSCUUCGCCCGCAACGCGGGCACGGGAAUCAUGCGCCACUCGUGCCGCACCCGCCCCCGGUGCCGUCCACGGCUGUCACCGUGAACAACUCAGAGUGUCCAAAACGACCGACUAUUGGCUGUAUGCUUCCGCAUGGGAUGACAAAGGAUCGACCAGAUGGGCUUUUGUAUUUUGCUGGCCUUAAUGCCCGUCAAGGGCAAUGCGGCGUUGGCCCCCCCCGGCCAGGCGCGUCGGCUUCGGUCGGCGGUCCGCCUGACCGGGGGGGUGUAGUGCCGACCGGCAGUGACGGGAGCGCUCGUGGUGAUGGGUAUUGACGCGCUAGAGGUGAAAUUCUUAGAUCGCCUUGGGACUUCCUGCAGCGAAGGCGUUUUGCAAGGGCAUGUCCGUCGAUCAAGAACGAGAGUGUGGGGAGAGAAGAUGAUCAGAUACCGUCGUAGUCCACUACCGUAAACAAUGUCGGCUCGGCGUCGGCGGUGUAUUCUGUUUCCAAGGACACCGCCGGUUCCACUCUUUUGCAACNAGAAAUCAAAGCUUGUGGGUUCAGGGGGGAGUACUGUCGCAAGGCUGAAACUUAAAGGAAUUGACGGAAUGGCACCACAAGGCGUGGAGUAUGCGGCUUAAUUUGACUCAACACGGGGAAUGUUACCAGGUCAGGACGUAGCUGGGAUUGACAGAUUGAGAGCUCUUUCUUGAUCCUUUGGACGGUGGUGCAUGGCCACUCCUGAUUGGUGGAGUGAUUUGUCUGGUUGAUUCCGAUAACGAGUGAGAUCUCUGCCUCCCAAUAGUCCCCCGUCUCGCACUUAUGUAGGGCGGGACGGCGCGCCAGGCUGGUUGCCGCUCGCGGCGCCGGUCGUACGGCCGCCGAUCUCCCGCCCGAGAGCUCGGGGUUUACACGCUUCUCUGAGGUGCUGUGUACGCUUCAAAGUGCAUGCAUGCCAGAGCCAACAGUAGGUCUGUGAUGCUCCUAGAUGUCCUGGGCCGCACGCGCACUACACUGACACAGUGAACGAGCUCACCCUCCGCUUGCGAGCCCUGCCCAGAAGUGGGCGGGAAACCUUCAAGCCUGUGUCGUGCUGGGGAUAGAUGAUUGCAACUAUUUGCCUUGAACGAGGAAUGCCUAGUAAGCGCAAGUCAUCAGCUUGCACUGAUUGUGUCCCUGCCAUUUGUACACACCGCCCGUCGUUGCUACCGAUGAUAGAAGGAUAGAGGCAUCAGGAGGCCGCCCCGGCGCUUCGGCSSNNNCGUGGCUGAAUUUGGCCAAUGUCCUGCUAUUAGAGGAAGCAAAA
This 2113-nucleotide ribosomal RNA is filed under the name Eutreptiella braarudii. RNAcentral's name for it is "bacterial SSU rRNA". It matches the Rfam family "Eukaryotic small subunit ribosomal RNA". The record is from RNAcentral. Lineage: Eukaryota; Euglenozoa; Euglenophyceae; Eutreptiales; Eutreptiaceae.